GACGAACGCUGGCGGCGUGCUUAACACAUGCAAGUCGAACGAAGUGGCGAACGGGUGAGUAAUACGUGGGUAACCUGCCCUCCUUUUUGGGAUAAGCCUUGGAAACGGGGUCUAAUACCGACUAAAGGGGGAUGGGCUCGCGGCCUAUCAGCUUGUUGGGGGGGUGAUGGCCUACCAAGGCGGUGCCGGGUAGCCGGGCUGAGAGGGAGACCGGCCCCAUUGGGACUGCGAUACUGCUAAGACACCUACGGGAGGGAGCUGUUGGGGAAUUUGCGCAAGGGUGGAAGGCCUGAUGCGGGUACGUCACGUGGGGGAUGAAGGCUUUCGGGUUGUAAGCCGGUUACGCUAUCGAACGGGUAGGUGGAGAAGAAGCGCCGGCUAACUACGUGCCAGCAGCCGCGGUAAUAC
Molecule: ribosomal RNA, 408 nt
Filed under: uncultured bacterium
Lineage: Bacteria
Description: partial 16S ribosomal RNA
Rfam family: Bacterial small subunit ribosomal RNA
Source: RNAcentral